UACGGAGGGUGCAAGCGUUAUCCGGAUUCACUGGGUUUAAAGGGUGCGUAGGCGGGCAGGUAAGUCCGUGGUGAAAUCUCUGAGCUUAACUCAGAAACUGCCAUGGAUACUAUUUGUCUUGAAUAUUGUGGAGGUAAGCGGAAUAUGUCAUGUAGCGGUGAAAUGCUUAGAUAUGACAUAGAACACCAAUUGCGAAGGCAGCUUACUACACAGUUAUUGACGCUGAGGCACGAAAGCGUGGGGAGCAAACAGG
Molecule: ribosomal RNA, 253 nt
Filed under: uncultured bacterium
Lineage: Bacteria
Description: partial 16S ribosomal RNA
Rfam family: Bacterial small subunit ribosomal RNA
Source: RNAcentral